This 100-nucleotide ribosomal RNA is filed under the name Klebsiella pneumoniae. RNAcentral describes it as "partial 23S ribosomal RNA". It matches the Rfam family "Bacterial large subunit ribosomal RNA", at positions 1 to 91 of the family's 2925-position model. The record is from RNAcentral. Lineage: Bacteria; Pseudomonadati; Pseudomonadota; Gammaproteobacteria; Enterobacterales; Enterobacteriaceae.
GGGUUGUGAGGUUAAGCGACUAAGCGUACACGGUGGAUGCCCUGGCAGUCAGAGGCGAUGAAGGACGUGCUAAUCUGCGAAAAGCGUCGGUAAGGUGAUA